This 200-nucleotide unclassified non-coding RNA is filed under the name soil metagenome. RNAcentral's name for it is "partial contains internal transcribed spacer 2 and large subunit ribosomal RNA". The record is from RNAcentral.
UCAAUCCCACGGGUUUCUCACCUGUGUGGACUUGGAACUGGGCGUCUGCCUCCCAAGGCUCGCCUCAAAUGACUUAGUGGGAACUUCUCGACCUACGCCUGACGUGAUAAGUUUCGUCUCGGCCGGUCCCGAGGCCCGCUCACAACCCCCAAUCUUUUGACAUUGACCUCAAAUCAGGUAGGGCUACCCGCUGAACUUAA